Molecule: unclassified non-coding RNA, 296 nt
Filed under: Conocybe juniana var. sordescens
Lineage: Eukaryota; Fungi; Basidiomycota; Agaricomycetes; Agaricales; Bolbitiaceae
Description: sequence contains 5.8S rRNA gene
Source: RNAcentral
UAACGCACCUUUCGCUCCUUGGUAUUCCGAGGAGCAUGCCUGUUUGAGUGUCAUUUAAUUCUCAAUCUCUACAAACUUGUGUUGUUAGUGGAUUGGAGGUGGGGGUUUCUGUGGGUGUAUUUUUUAUAUCCACUCCCCUGAAAAUUAUUAGCUGGAAUGCCUUUGCAAAACCAACUAUCAGUAUGAUAAUUAUCUAUUCUGAUGUUGCUGUGAAGGGAAUCUGCUUUCAAACCGUCAUUCUGACACUUUGAAUCCAUUUGACCUCAAAUCAGGUAGGACUACCCGCUGAACUUAAG